This 448-nucleotide ribosomal RNA is filed under the name uncultured organism. RNAcentral describes it as "partial 16S ribosomal RNA". It matches the Rfam family "Bacterial small subunit ribosomal RNA", at positions 335 to 799 of the family's 1533-position model. The record is from RNAcentral.
ACUCCUGCGGGAGGCAGCAGUGGGGAAUAUUGGACAAUGGGCGCAAGCCUGAUCCAGCCAUGCCGCGUGAGUGAUGAAGGCCCUAGGGUUGUAAAGCUCUUUCACCGGAGAAGAUAAUGACGGUAUCCGGAGAAGAAGCCCCGGCUAACUUCGUGCCAGCAGCCGCGGUAAUACGAAGGGGGCUAGCGUUGUUCGGAAUUACUGGGCGUAAAGCGCACGUAGGCGGAUCGAUCAGUCAGGGGUGAAAUCCCAGGGCUCAACCCUGGAACUGCCUUUGAUACUGUCGAUCUGGAGUAUGGAAGAGGUGAGUGGAAUUCCGAGUGUAGAGGUGAAAUUCGUAGAUAUUCGGAGGAACACCAGUGGCGAAGGCGGCUCACUGGUCCAUUACUGACGCUGAGGUGCGAAAGCGUGGGGAGCAAACAGGAUUAGAUACCCGAGUAGUCCCAUG